GCUGGUGGCGCGGGGCACCGGCGCAGAGAAGGACAGGGGGCGGGGCGUCCGGACCGUGAGGCCGAGGGUGAGGACUGACCCGGCGGGUCGCCGCGGAGGGAAGAUGGCGGAGCUGCGCGCGCUUGUGGCUGUCAAGAGGGUCAUCGACUUCGCCGUGAAGAUACGGGUGAAGUCCGACGGGACGGGUGUGGUCACGGAUGGCGUGAAGCACUCCAUGAACCCCUUCUGCGAGAUCGCCGUGGAGGAGGCCGUACGGCUCAAGGAGAAGAAGCUGGUGAAGGAAGUCAUUGCCGUCAGCUGCGGGCCUACCCAGUGCCAGGAGACCAUCCGCACCGCUCUGGCCAUGGGCGCAGACCGAGGCAUCCACGUGGAGGUGCCGGCUGCCGAGGUGGAUCGCCUGGGUCCCCUGCAGGUGGCCCGGGUCCUGGCCAAGCUGGCAGAGAAGGAGAAGGUGGACCUGGUGCUGCUGGGCAAGCAGGCCAUCGAUGAUGAUUGUAACCAGACAGGGCAGAUGACAGCCGGAUUUCUGGACUGGCCACAGGGCACAUUUGCCUCCCAGGUGGCGCUGGAAGGGGACAAGGUGAAGGUGGAGCGGGAGGUCGAUGGGGGCCUGGAGACCCUGCGCCUGAAGCUGCCUGCCGUGGUGACCGCUGACCUGCGGCUCAACGAGCCCCGCUACGCCACGUUACCCAACAUCAUGCCAAAAUGGAGAGUUCGGUGUGUCAUCUCAACUGACAGGGGGCGUUCAGUAUGUCAUUCCAUCCAACAAGGAGGGUUCAUUGAGUCGUCUCAGCCAGUAGCCAACAGGGAGAGUACAAUUGGUCAUCUUGGCCAAAAGUCUAUUGAGUUAUUAUUGCGAGAAGAAUGACUUUGCCAGUCCGUUCCAGCCAGCGAAGGACUUCCCACGGCGGUUGACUAAAGAAAGCCAAGAAGAAGAAGAUCGAAGUGAUCAAGGCUGGGGACCUGGGCGUGGACCUGACCUCCAAGCUCUCCGUGAUUAGCGUGGAAGACCCACCCCAGCGCACAGCCGGUGUCAAGGUGGAGACCACAGAGGACCUGGUGGCCAAGCUGAAGGAGAUUGGGCGCAUUUGAGCCCUUUCCCUGAAACCCGGCAAUAAAACCAUGACUCUUG
This is an RNA transcript of Lagenorhynchus albirostris (white-beaked dolphin), 1132 nucleotides long. It is a transcript of the gene named electron transfer flavoprotein subunit beta, with no coding region annotated. NCBI's taxonomy places the organism in Eukaryota, Metazoa, Chordata, Mammalia, Artiodactyla, Delphinidae. The record is from RefSeq and is a predicted model, not a curated record. The transcript is spliced from 8 exons.